UCAACCUCAAAACAAGAUGUGAGAAAGAGGGUUGGGAAAGCUGACAGAUCUGCUAUGGCAGAGCUUCUAAAGAAGAAAAAGACUGAAGACCAGCGGAACCAUAAAGCACACACAACAAGCAUGACAACAAUUUCCCUGCACUUCCACG
RNAcentral lists this long non-coding RNA (148 nucleotides) under Lytechinus variegatus (green sea urchin). RNAcentral's name for it is "uncharacterized LOC121426945". Lineage: Eukaryota; Metazoa; Echinodermata; Echinoidea; Temnopleuroida; Toxopneustidae. The record is from RNAcentral.